UACAGAGGGUGCAAGCGUUAUUCGAAAUUAUUGGGCGUAAAGCGCGCGUAGGUGGUUUGGUAAGUUCUGUGUGAAAGCCUCGGGCUUAACCCGGGAAGGUCAUGGAAAACUGCCAAGCUGGAGUGCGGAAGAGGAGAGCGGAAUUCCCAGUGUAGUGGUGAAAUACGUAGAUAUUGGGAGGAACACCGGUGGCGAAAGCGGCUCUCUGGUCCGUUACUGACACUGAGGUGCGAAAGCGUGGGUAGCAAACAGG
RNAcentral lists this ribosomal RNA (253 nucleotides) under uncultured bacterium. RNAcentral describes it as "partial 16S ribosomal RNA". It matches the Rfam family "Bacterial small subunit ribosomal RNA", at positions 524 to 776 of the family's 1533-position model. The record is from RNAcentral.